ACUUCCCGAGAGAGAGCCGGACACUCCGGCCGCCGAAGAGGCAAACCGCAUUUUAAGCUAAAGCGGUGAAACUUUCAGGCAGAAGGAUCGGGA
This 93-nucleotide non-coding RNA is filed under the name chicken gut metagenome. RNAcentral describes it as "Glycine riboswitch". It matches the Rfam family "Glycine riboswitch aptamer", at positions 8 to 87 of the family's 94-position model. Rfam says of the family: This family represents the bacterial glycine riboswitch. Glycine riboswitches usually consist of two metabolite-binding aptamers domains with similar structures in tandem. The record is from RNAcentral.